RNAcentral lists this ribosomal RNA (651 nucleotides) under Haplosclerida sp. 14 JV-2020. Its description in RNAcentral is "partial large subunit ribosomal RNA". The record is from RNAcentral. Lineage: Eukaryota; Metazoa; Porifera; Demospongiae; Haplosclerida.
UAGUAACGGCGAGCGAAGUGGGAACAAGCCCAGGUCUGAAAUCUUCCGGCCGGCUUUGUUACGGUCGGGCGAAUUGUGGUCUGGAGAGGCAAACUGUCCUGAUCCACUGCUCCUGAGCCCGAAAUUGACUUGGAACGGCAUGCCAAAGAGGGUGAGAGCCCCGUAGGGCCUAGAAAUUGGGAGUAGCAGGACGAGGGUUUGUACUCGUAGAGUCGGGUUGUUUGGGAAUGCAGCCCAAAGUGGGUGGUAGACUCCAUCCAAGGCUAAAUACAGGCGCGAGACCGAUAGCUGACAAGUACCGUGAGGGAAAGGUGAAAAGCACUUUGAAGAGAGAGUUCAAUAGACCGUGAAACCGUUGGGAGGGAAGCUCAGGGUGUCGAGGUUGUCGUGCUUCAUUAGAGUUCAGCUGAUGGUGACCAGGUAACUGGUCGCUGUUGGUGCAUUCUGUAAUGGAGUUUGACCGUCAGUUGGGAAGAYGACAAGGUCUGUUUAUCGGCCGUGGGGAGGUAUGCCUUUCUGAGCCUUGUGUGAAGUUGGGUAACGUACAGCCUUCAGUCGUGGCCUUGUUUGUCUUUCAGGUGCGUCGGAUGUCUUUUCGUUCGUAAGUGGAAGGUGCAGCCUCCCCUUGUGGGGGGUCGGGGCCGCUGACAG